Long non-coding RNA from Daphnia magna, 548 nucleotides. RefSeq lists it as uncharacterized. The record is from RefSeq and is a predicted model, not a curated record. The transcript is spliced from 2 exons. Lineage: Eukaryota; Metazoa; Arthropoda; Branchiopoda; Diplostraca; Daphniidae.
AUGGAUCGACGUGCGUCGGUGUCGAUGCUAACCGCAAUUUUCCGAUCGGUUUUGCUGGAUCUGGUUCCUCCAGCGAUCCCUGUUCAGGAAUAAUCUACGGUGCCAUGCUGCUGUUGGCUGUUGUCUUCAUAAUUACUAGAACGGUCGUUGGUGGACCGAUGGGCACGUCUUCUGAAUACUACACGACUCCAGCAUCCUACUGCACAACGACGUGUACAGCCCCAAGCUGCUAAAUCGAGUCCCUGAAAUACUAAAUACGAGUCCCCAAAUACUAAUCGUCCCCAAGUUACUACACAGAGGCACUGGUGUACUAAACUACGACAUACGCUACACCAAGUUAUUCCAGCGAAGGCCCGAAGUACUAUAUUGUAAAGCAUUCUCCCUCUCGGGUGGAUGACUUUACGGAUUAAGACAAAUAUAUGAAUACGGAACUCGGAGACGUUUACCCACAAUGAUGACAGUGUAUUAUUAGACUAGGGCCAUAAGAAUUACACGGGAAAGAACAUACAAUAUAACAAGAAAGGGGAUAACGAGCCAAACCAUAAUUA